UACGGGGGGGGCAAGCGUUGUUCGGAAUUACUGGGCGUAAAGGGCUCGUAGGCGGCCAACUAAGUCAGACGUGAAAUCCCUCGGCUUAACCGGGGAACUGCGUCUGAUACUGGAUGGCUUGAGGUUGGGAGAGGGAUGCGGAAUUCCAGGUGUAGCGGUGAAAUGCGUAGAUAUCCGGAGGAACACCAGCGGCGAAGGCGGCAUCCUGGACUGGUCCUGACGCUCAGGAGCGAAAGCGUGGGGAGCGAUCCGG
RNAcentral lists this ribosomal RNA (253 nucleotides) under uncultured bacterium. RNAcentral's name for it is "partial 16S ribosomal RNA". It matches the Rfam family "Bacterial small subunit ribosomal RNA", at positions 524 to 776 of the family's 1533-position model. The record is from RNAcentral.